This 85-nucleotide transfer RNA is filed under the name Lewinellaceae bacterium SD302. RNAcentral's name for it is "tRNA-Leu". It matches the Rfam family "tRNA". Rfam says of the family: Transfer RNA (tRNA) molecules are approximately 80 nucleotides in length. Their secondary structure includes four short double-helical elements and three loops (D, anti-codon, and T loops). The record is from RNAcentral. Lineage: Bacteria; Pseudomonadati; Bacteroidota; Saprospiria; Saprospirales; Lewinellaceae.
GCCGAAGUGAUGAAAUUGGUAGACAUGCACGUUUCAGGGACGUGUGCCUUCGGGCGUGGGGGUUCGAGUCCCCCCUUCGGCACCA